UGUUAUAUUUGGACAGACAUUGUCGAACGUACCGUCGUCGCAACUGCACGCGCACUAUAUUAUUUAAAAAAACGAUUCAUUAAAUACAUCGUAUUGUAAUAUAAUAUUUUAAACUUUUAACUCGUGNGGCUAAUCGAAUUCACGUCCAACAUGUUUAACUUGGGAGGAGCGAUGAAAAAUAUUACAGCAAAAGCUGAAGAAUUAGUAGAGGAAAAGAAACAUGCUGCAACUUCACUUCUUGAAAAACAAGUAAAAGAAACCGGUGAGUUUUUAUCUAACACUCUCAACGAGGCAGAAGGCAAAGCUGUGAGCGCCGCUGAAGAGGCGAAAAAGGCAGCUGUGGACGGCUUUGACCAGGAGGUCGAAAAACUUGCUGAUAGUGCCUUACAGGAGACUUCUAAACAUGAUAUUGGUGGUGGUGGUUUAUUAGGUGGAGUUAAGAACUCAAUUGGUCAUGUUGCUAAUAAAGUGGAGUCUGGUGGUAGUCACGCGGGCCUUGAUUUUGGUUCACUGAUCGGAAAUACGGUUAGAAGCGCCAUAGCUACACAAAUACCCGUGAGCACAGUGGUUGACGACAAGCUCAAGGAGGCCGACCAGUUGCUCAGCGAGAAGCGCGAAGCUCUCGGGGAACCGGCGAAGAGCAUGAUGUCCAAGGCCAAGGGAUUGUUCGGCUGUAAGUUAGGUUGCUGUACUAUCAUGUAGGAAAAAAAUUUCUCACACAAACCCGUGUACGCACAGUCUACACACACUGUCGAUGUAUAUUAUUGCCAGAAUCAAUCAACUACUAAUCACUACAUAUUAUAUGCGUAUAGUGGGAAUAGNGACUUGGCUAUAAAACUUCUAUAGCGUGCUAACUGCU
Molecule: unclassified non-coding RNA, 859 nt
Filed under: Diuraphis noxia (Russian wheat aphid)
Lineage: Eukaryota; Metazoa; Arthropoda; Insecta; Hemiptera; Aphididae
Description: uncharacterized LOC107167851, transcript variant X4
Source: RNAcentral